Long non-coding RNA from Salvia splendens (bonfire salvia), 1947 nucleotides. RefSeq lists it as uncharacterized. The transcript is spliced from 2 exons. The record is from RefSeq and is a predicted model, not a curated record. NCBI's taxonomy places the organism in Eukaryota, Viridiplantae, Streptophyta, Magnoliopsida, Lamiales, Lamiaceae.
AGAGAAAUAAGAAAAGAAAAAGAAAUUGGAAAAUGGAAUGAGAUUUUUAUCUCAAUUCCCUCACUUUAAGGGAACUUUCUACAGACACACAAUCCCAUAUUGAUUUCUCUCUCAAUUGUAAAUCCCCAAAUUGAAGAAGAACGCAGCAACCUUUUCCCUCAAUUUCUCCGAUGAAUUCAUGCCGGAGCGUCUCCCUCCAUCUACGACGAGUUCUCUCCCCCGUCGGGCUCUCUCUCCUCAUCGAGCUCUCUUUCUCCCCGUCGAGCUCCUCGUCAGGUUCUGCACGCGGCUGAGCCGUCGGUUCGGGAAGACAAAAGGCAUCGCCUUUCCUUUCGCGGCUGGUCGUUCCCGGCACUGCACGGGAAGGGUUCGGUUGCCGCCGCGCUUCGCUGUCCGCCCUUGCAAGUGACGCCGCUGACCGCCAGCCUUGCGGCGUCGGCUCCUGUUCGUCGUCGGUCAACCCCUUCUCCUGGAGCUAAGUCACCCUUUUCCCCUUUUAAUUAUUCCGUAAAUCUGAGUUCUCGAUUGAUUAUUUGAUUCGAAGUUUAUAUUAGUUUUUGCUCCUAUGGUUCUCAUACAUGGGGUCUACUGAUCUGGAAAUCACUUCCUCGUUGGCUAAGCACCAGUACCAUUUCUCGAUACUUGCUCUUUAUACUUGCUAGUGUUUGAAUGUAGGGAUAACAUAGAGUUUAUCAAUAGGGCUUUCGAAGCUUACCUUGCUAAUUUGAUUUAAUUUGGGAAUUAAUUAUAGUGAGCUGAACAUGGAAUUUUAAUGAAAUUGUUGGGAUGAUUAUAUAGUUGGAUUAUUUUAGAUGGUAAGAAUUUUGAAACAUACCAGUAGAAUUAUUGUUGUGGUGAAAGAAACAGAGUAUACAACUUUUGUGACAUGUUCUGGCAGAGUUUAUUCGACUUCAGUUAAUCGAGUAAGCGAUCUCCUUUUCUUACAAAUUUUUAACUGAACAAACUUUCAUGUGUCUUCUGCCAUGUGGCCAAAAUUCAGCUUCAACCGAGUCAAAAUGAAUUUAUAAUGAUUUUUGUUAGGGGACUGUGCUGUUCUGCUAUGUUUGGGUAAAAUAGACGUUUAUGGCUUUUAUUUUCAUCUGGAUUAUGUUGAAUUUUGAUAUAAUUUAGGUACCAUUUGAGUUGGAAUUGUCAAAUAAAAGUGAAUCUCCAAUACGUUGGUGUGUUGGCUGGAAAAUUUAGAAUAUUUAUGGCAUGCUUGAAGAAACUCUUUUCCUUGGUAGGAACUCACUGUCUUCAGCUGCUGAUUUUGAAGUUUCGACACCUUUAAGGUGUUGCAAAUUGUAUUUUCAAAUUUUCUGCAUGAACCUUGAUGUGUUGAGGAGCUCUUUGUAAAAUUUCAAUUGAUUUGGCUUUCAUUUACUAUUUUUAGAAAAUCUCCAAUCACAGCCGCCAGAACUUGUCAGGUCGUGAUAGACAGUGGGAAAAUGGCCAUAUCUCCCAACCUACUUGGAAUUUUUGAAAGAACUUUGUUUUAAAAUAUAACUAGACACCAAGGGGAUUCUUUUGGUAUAUGGCUUGACCUCUUGUACUUCGUGCAAAAGAAGUAACUAAAGAGAACUUGUUUUAUGCUUAAGUUAUUUUUGGUGUUGUGUUGAUAAGAAUUAUUUAUUGAAAGGUAAUCCUGGCCCGUGGGAUAGCACGGGCAAGGAGAAGGCGAAGGAGUAAAGUUAUCUAGUACGGCAUUUGGAUUUUGAGAUUAGCUCUUUCGAUGUAAAGCUGCUCAAGUCGGGUCACUAGCCAACCUUUUUGUGUUAAAAAAUUUCUUUCGGAUAUGCUAGAUGUGGCAUGUAUAGAAAGUGUAAUAUAGUUCGACGUUUCAUUUAAUUCGUUAUCCAGGUUGUAUAAAUAUAUAUAGACUUUUGGAAAUAGGUUUAUGGUCUAAUUUCUGACGUUAUAUAGCAGUUUUUCCGUUUGUCAAGUAAA